GAGUUGUUUGGUAAUAUAUCUGUAAUUAUAAACACUGUAUUUUGAAAGCUCAGAAAGAGCUAGCAGAGGGCUUGUUGUGGGAAGAAGUUGUUGCAGAGGUUUGCUUUUUUGUGGGGGAGACCAACCUUGCUACAACCAACAACCCUGAGACCUUUAACUUUGGAAAAACAAAGGUGCUUCACCAGCCUGCUCUGGUACAAUCAACUCCCCCAGCAAAGAGCCUCAUUGAUGGACAGGAGCUGGAGAAUGUUGGAACAUUUUGCAUAACUCAGCAGCCAUCUGUCAAAGAAACCCCUGCAACAUCAAUUAAGAGAUUCAGUAUGUAAUCUGUUAUGCCAGCUCUGCCUUCAGAAGACUGAAUCAUUUUGUGUUUAAAGAUCAUGACAUCAGGACUUGAACAAAGCUCCUACUAUAAAAGGCGGUGGUAAUCCCAACUCGUCUCUACAUCUGUGAAGUUUGGGUGGCCUCCAGGUACCACCUAAAAAGCCUGGAACACCAUGACCAAUUCUGUAGCAUAAAGUGGGAGAAUCAUCACAGAUGCCAGUGUCCUCACAUCACAACCACCACUGGUUGGAAGCACUGCCUAUUCAACAUCAGCUGUGGUGGACAGAGCAUUGUGUGCAUGUCUGAUGUAUGUAUACCAAAACUGCUACACUCUCCACUCAGCCAAAGACAAUGGGCACACAGGGGCCAGAGAAAAUGCUUCAAGAACACCAUUAAUAUGAACAUUAAGAAGUGUGGCAAUGAUACCACAAAGUGGGAAAAACUAGCGUGGGACAAGUCUACAUGUCAAUCCCUUGUGAGAGAAGGCACAUCUUACUUUGUGGAAAGUUGUCUUACUCUGGAGGCAGGAAAAGUAAAGGUAAUAAGACCAAGAAAUUUGUGGUCCAACCCUCCCUUUAACCAUCACCUGUGGCAUUUUCCAGAGCGUCUGUGGCUGUAGGAUUGGCCACCUUAGCCAUCAACGGACUCAUCUACAAUCCUUUACUUGACCCAUGGGAGUGAUUAUCCUCAACUGUGAGGGAUCACCAUCACUGACAGGAUAUGCCCUAAGCAUCUAAGUCUAGCCUCCCUGGCUCUCUCAGAAAACUUCCUUGCACCAGAUUGUUCUGAUGUUAUCAUUUUGUGAUCUAUUUUUCAAUAAAUCCCCCAAUAUCAAUCUUAGCAUUCUCA
Molecule: long non-coding RNA, 1173 nt
Organism: Alligator mississippiensis (American alligator)
Lineage: Eukaryota; Metazoa; Chordata; Crocodylia; Alligatoridae
Exons: 2
Source: RefSeq, a predicted model, not a curated record